CUUCUGUUUUGGGCAGCAGUGAAGCAGGAACAUGAAGAUGAAUUGGAAAUAAUUCAUGGGAAAGCAAAAAUAGACCAAGAGACCCAUAUAAUUUGAAAUUCACAAAGACAACGAUCAACAAACCAGCAGAAUUAUAGAUGAAGAAUUGUUCCCUGUUGAAACAGAAUGAGAAAUAGAGGUCUGGAUAAUACAUCGAUCUCGGCUGUCAAGCUGAGGGUUGAUUUGAAGGUUCAUCAUGUCAGUGUGUACUGCAAGAUAAGAAUUCUUACUUACUGGAGGACCAGGUGGGCCAGAAGGAAGCCUGGAAUAGAUACUCCUUGCUUGCAUGGACCUGGAAUGGAAACACAAGUAUGUUGUACUCACUGCAUCACCCUUGGCUCCAGGAGACCCCUGGGGGCCAGGAAGACCCCUAUCACCCUUUUCCCCCUGUUCUCCUGGAGGUCCAAUCAGGCCAAUCAAACCAGGGUGUCCCUAAACAAGAUUUAAAAAUAUAUAGUUAACAUACAUUAAAGUAAAUGCGUUUUGCAAACACAUAAAUUAGACCUUUCACGUUACCACUGUUGCUUGUCAACAAUCAACCUGAAAACAAAUUAUUCUAAAAGUGUGUUUAUUGUAGUUAGAUGGACUUUCAGAUUAUUUGCAAGUUGUGACUGCUUAUGCAGUGAAAGAUCUGAGUGCAAGGUAGUAAGAAACGGGUACAGAAAUCACAGUACCGUGGGUACAAUUUUCAUCCCAGUUUUCACACGUAGCUGCUACCAGCAUCUCAUAAGUCCCACGUGUGAUAUGGGUGCAUAAACAGCUGAUCCAAGCAGACAAAUAAAACCUGCAGUUCACAGGGCACAGUCAUAUUCAUGUCUCUUCCUCUACAGUUUUUCUCUGAUGCACAAGCAAUCAAUAUAUUGUUGGGAUUCCAUAGGAAAAUCCUAUCCUAGAUGUCUCAAUCCAUUAUUUCAAAAGAAAGUACUAUAGCUGUUAAAUAUUUUGUUCUUUUAAA
This is a long non-coding RNA of Prinia subflava (tawny-flanked prinia), 994 nucleotides long. RefSeq lists it as uncharacterized. Lineage: Eukaryota; Metazoa; Chordata; Aves; Passeriformes; Cisticolidae. The record is from RefSeq and is a predicted model, not a curated record. The transcript is spliced from 5 exons.